CCAACCCUUGAAGGCGGCUGCACCUUUCAGGAUAUUCUAGUCCAACAUCGAGGUCACAAACCUUUUUUUCGAUAAGAGCUCUCAAAAAAGAUUAUGCUGUUAUCCCUACGGUAACUAUUUCUUUUAAUCACAAUGGAAUUGUGGAUCUUUAUACAAUAAGUUUUAUUUAAAAAGAAGCUUUAGCUGUUCCUCAGUCGCCCCAACCAAAAUUUUUCAUGAAAAGAAGUCUAUUAAUAGCUUCUUAAUAACAUAAAUAACUUUAAAGCUCGAUAGGGUCUUCUUGUCUAUUAAUUUUAUUUAGAUUUCUUCAUCUAAAAAAUAAGUUCCAUGGAUUUUUGCAGAGACAGGGUAGCCCUUGUCAAACCCUUCAUACUAGCCCUCAAUUAUAGGGCAAAUGAUUAUGCUACCUUUGCACGGUCAGAGUACCGCGGCCGUUGAA
This 439-nucleotide ribosomal RNA is filed under the name Littoraria pintado. RNAcentral describes it as "partial 16S ribosomal RNA". Lineage: Eukaryota; Metazoa; Mollusca; Gastropoda; Littorinimorpha; Littorinidae. The record is from RNAcentral.